RNAcentral lists this ribosomal RNA (253 nucleotides) under uncultured bacterium. RNAcentral's name for it is "partial 16S ribosomal RNA". It matches the Rfam family "Bacterial small subunit ribosomal RNA", at positions 524 to 776 of the family's 1533-position model. The record is from RNAcentral.
UACGUAGGGGGCAAGCGUUGUCCGGAAUCAUUGGGCGUAAAGCGCGCGUAGGCGGCCCGGGAAGUCCGGUGUGAAAGCCCGGGGCUCAACUCCGGGAGGCGGGUGGAUACUGCUGGGCUCGAGUCCGGAAGAGGCGAGUGGAAUUCCUGGUGUAGCGGUGAAAUGCGCAGAUAUCAGGAGGAACACCAGUGGCGAAGGCGGCUCGCUGGGACGGUACUGACGCUGAGACGCGAAAGCGUGGGGAGCAAACAGG